UAUUAAUUUUUUUUUCUAUUUCUACAGUUAAAAAUUGGUAUGAUUGAUGAAAUAACCAAACAGUUACACGUGUCGAACUAUGUGUAUCUCAUGCUACUGUAAAGGAACCAACUUUUAAUUGUAAAAAUGAAAGAAAUUUUUAACA
This 145-nucleotide microRNA precursor is filed under the name Gossypium arboreum. RNAcentral's name for it is "MIR7502 microRNA precursor family". It matches the Rfam family "MIR7502 microRNA precursor family". The record is from Rfam by way of RNAcentral. Lineage: Eukaryota; Viridiplantae; Streptophyta; Magnoliopsida; Malvales; Malvaceae.